CCGUAGGGGGCUUUUGCCCCCGGCUCCAUAUAACCCUUGUCUAUGAGAACCCUCGUUUCCUCGGCAGGUCCGCCUGCCAAUGGGGACAACACCAAACCUUUUUGCAGUAGUAGUAACCGUAAAUAAACAAAAAAUCA
This 137-nucleotide unclassified non-coding RNA is filed under the name uncultured Helotiales. RNAcentral describes it as "sequence contains ITS1". Lineage: Eukaryota; Fungi; Ascomycota; Leotiomycetes; Helotiales. The record is from RNAcentral.